CCUACGGGUGGCAGCAGUGAGGAAUAUUGGUCAAUGGGCGCGAGCCUGAACCAGCCAAGUAGCGUGAAGGAUGACUGCCCUACGGGUUGUAAACUUCUUUUAUAAAGGAAUAAAGUGAGGCACGUGUGCCUUUUUGUAUGUAUUUUAUGAAUAAGGAUCGGCUAACUCCGUGCCAGCAGGCGCGGUAAUACGGAGGAUCCGUGCGUUAUCCGGAUUUAUUGGGUUUAAAGGGAGCGUAGGUGGGUUGUUAAGUCAGUUGUGAAAGUUUGCGGCUCAACCGUAAAAUUGCAAUUGAUACUGGCAGUCUUGAGUGCAGUUGAGGUAGGCGGAAUUCGUGGUGUAGCGGUGAAAUGCUUAGAUAGCACGAAGAACUCCGAUUGCGAAGGCAGCCUACUAAACUGCCACUGACGUUGAUGCUCGAAAGUGUGGGUAUCAAACAGGAUUAGAUACCCUAGUAGUC
This 460-nucleotide ribosomal RNA is filed under the name uncultured bacterium. RNAcentral's name for it is "partial 16S ribosomal RNA". It matches the Rfam family "Bacterial small subunit ribosomal RNA", at positions 338 to 795 of the family's 1533-position model. The record is from RNAcentral.